GAUGAACGCUAGCUACAGGCUUAACACAUGCAAGUCGAGGGGAAACGACAUCGAAAGCUUGCUUUUGAUGGGCGUCGACCGGCGCACGGGUGAGUAACGCGUAUCCAACCUGCCCAUCACUUGGGAAUAACCUUGCGAAAGUAAGACUAAUACCCAAUGAUAUCCCACGAGGGCAUCGGAAUGGGAUUAAAGAUUUAUCGGUGAUGGAUGGGGAUGCGUCUGAUUAGCUUGUUGGCGGGGUAACGGCCCACCAAGGCAACGAUCAGUAGGGGUUCUGAGAGGAAGGUCCCCCACAUUGGAACUGAGACACGGUCCAAACUCCUACGGGAGGCAGCAGUGAGGAAUAUUGGUCAAUGGGCGAGAGCCUGAACCAGCCAAGUAGCGUGCAGGAAGACGGCCCUAUGGGUUGUAAACUGCUUUUAUAAGGGAAUAAAGUGGGUCACGUGUGACUUUUUGCAUGUACCUUAUGAAUAAGGACCGGCUAAUUCCGUG
RNAcentral lists this ribosomal RNA (492 nucleotides) under uncultured bacterium. Its description in RNAcentral is "partial 16S ribosomal RNA". It matches the Rfam family "Bacterial small subunit ribosomal RNA", at positions 28 to 507 of the family's 1533-position model. The record is from RNAcentral.